This is a ribosomal RNA of 1547 nucleotides. The stretch from base 577 to 1547 matches the Rfam family "Eukaryotic large subunit ribosomal RNA", at positions 1 to 955 of the family's 3401-position model.
AAGGGGUUGUAGCUGGCCUUUUUCAGGCAUGUGCACGCCCUGCUUCAUCCAUCUCUCACCUGUGCAUCUUUUGUAGGUUGGUCUUCAAUUGGCCUCUCCGGAGGUCGGUUUGGACCUUCCUAUGUUUUUAUCACACUUACCCUGUCAGUAUCAGAAUGUCAUCGCGUAUAACGCAUUUUAUAUACAACUUUCAGCAACGGAUCUCUUGGCUCUCGCAUCGAUGAAGAACGCAGCGAAAUGCGAUAAGUAAUGUGAAUUGCAGAAUUCAGUGAAUCAUCGAAUCUUUGAACGCACCUUGCGCUCCUUGGUAUUCCGAGGAGCAUGCCUGUUUGAGUGUCAUGGAAUUCUCAACUCAUCUUGCUUUUUAUUUGUGAGAUGGUGUUGGAUUUGGAGGUUUAUUGCUGUCGUCAUUUACUUGAUGAUGGCUCCUCUCAAUUGCAUUAGCUGGAACCUUUGUGGAUCGGCUCUUCAGUGUGAUAAUUGUCUACGCUGUGGAGUUGUGAGACGRUUUGCGUCUUUUUGACGUGAGGUUUCGCUUCUAGUCGUCCUUUUACCGGGACAAUUUCUUUGACCUUCUGACCUCAAAUCAGGUAGGAUUACCCGCUGAACUUAAGCAUAUCAAUAAGCGGAGGAAAAGAAACUAACAAGGAUUCCCCUAGUAACUGCGAGUGAAGCGGGAAAAGCUCAAAUUUAAAAUCUGGCGGUCUUUGGUCGUCCGAGUUGUAGUCUGGAGAAGUGCUUUCCGCGCUGGACCGUGUACAAGUCUCUUGGAACAGAGCGUCAUAGAGGGUGAGAAUCCCGUCUUUGACACGGACUACCAGUCGCUUUGUGAUGCGCUCUCAAAGAGUCGAGUUGUUUGGGAAUGCAGCUCAAAAUGGGUGGUGAAUUCCAUCUAAAGCUAAAUAUUGGCGAGAGACCGAUAGCGAACAAGUACCGUGAGGGAAAGAUGAAAAGCACUUUGGAAAGAGAGUUAAACAGUACGUGAAAUUGCUGAAAGGGAAACGCUUGAAGUCAGUCGCGUUGGCCAGAACUCAGCCUUGCUCUUUUGCUUGGUGCAUUUUCUGGUUGACGGGUCAGCAUCAGUUUUGAUCGUUGGAGAAAGGCCAGAGGAAUGUGGCACCUCCGGGUGUGUUAAAGCCUCUGGUCACAUACGACGAUUGGGACUGAGGGUCUCAGCACGCCUAUAUGGCCGGGGUUUGCCCACGUUCGUGCUUAGGAUGCUGGCAUAAUGGCUUUAAGCGACCCGUCUUGAAACACGGACCAAGGAGUCUAACAUACCUGCGAGUGUUUGGGUGGAAAACCCGAGCGCGUAAUGAAAGUGAAAGUUGAGAUCCCUGUCGUGGGGAGCAUCGACGCCCGGACCUGACGUUCUCUGACGGCUCCGCGGUAGAGCAUGUAUGCUGGGACCCGAAAGAUGGUGAACUAUGCCUGAAUAGGGUGAAGCCAGAGGAAACUCUGGUGGAGGCUCGUAGCGAUUCUGACGUGCAAAUCGAUCGUCAAAUUUGGGUAUAGGGGCGAAAGACUAAUCGAACCAUCUAGUAGCUGGU